CCAUGUAGUCCACAUUCUUAGAUUUCUUAGACAUCUAAUCUCUGAAGCUAAGCAGGGUUGGGCCUAGUUAGUACUUGGAUGGGAGACCACCUAGGAAGACUGGGUGCUGUAGGUG
This 115-nucleotide ribosomal RNA is filed under the name Pteropus alecto (black flying fox). The record is from RNAcentral. Lineage: Eukaryota; Metazoa; Chordata; Mammalia; Chiroptera; Pteropodidae.